Astatotilapia calliptera (eastern happy) is the source of this 1373-nucleotide long non-coding RNA. The record is from Ensembl. NCBI's taxonomy places the organism in Eukaryota, Metazoa, Chordata, Actinopteri, Cichliformes, Cichlidae.
AGCGACAAGACGACACCGACAACUACGAAGAAGAACAAGAAUCGUCACGGUCGAGUUAUCCCAAACUCUGCAACCUCGAACAGCGAGAAGGGUUCGCUGUAGCCACGGUCCGAGACGAGGUGUCCUCGUUCAUGGCGUACUUUCUGCCUGCGAUAGAGGACGCCGUCCAGGUGCCAGACCGCCAUCGACGGUUGGAAGCCCCUGGGCCGCACCGAGUUCCGAGCCUACGUAGGGCUGCUGAUACUCGCCGGCGUGUACAGGUCACAAGGCAAGGCCUGCGAGAGCCUGUGGGACGCCGAGAGCGGCAGGUCCAUGUUCAAAGCCACGAUGCCGCUCAAGACCUUUCGGGCCUACUGGAGCGCCCUGCGGUUCAAUGACCGAGAGACCAGAGAGGCCAGGUGUUGCGACGACCACGGUCGAUACGACAAGCUGGCCCCGGUCAGAGCGAUGUCGGUCGAGUGGUGCGGGCGCUUGACUCUCAUGUACUGAUCAGGACCCGAGGUCACCGUGGACAAGAGACUGGUGCUGUUUAGAGGUUUGUGUGUGUGUGUGUGUGUGUGUGUGAAAUGAUGAUGAUGAUGAGGACGUGUGGGACAGAUACUCGGAUUUCCUCAAUGUAGUUCUUUGUACUUUUUGUAUUUUUUAUUUUUUUUUUGCUCGGGGCUUUUAUUUGGUUUUCUCCCUUUGUGCUUGUGAAACUCGGAAACGUUCUGAACUCUGUCUCUCUCUCUGUCUCCCUGUGUCUCAUCAUCUCACCAACAGGAAGGUGUCUGUUCAGGCAGUACAUGCCCGGCAAACCAACCAGGUACGGGAUCAAGAUAUGGGUUGCAUGCGACGCCCGGUCCAGCUAUGCGUGGAAAAUGCAGGUGUACGCCAGCAAGCCCGACAAGCUCGGUCCUCUUGAAAAGAACCUGGCCACUCGAGUGGUCAUGGACCUCACUGAGGGACUGGCGCCCGGACGCUUUUCUUUUUUUUUUUGUCCAGGCCCGGGGCCGCACAAGGGUUAAGCAUCAGAAAUUAAGACGUAAUAGACAAACACAGGGAGAGGACUGUGUCUUUCUUCUUCUUCUUCUUUCUAUUUUGUGUCAAAACAAAGUCCACACAAAGUCCUCUCAUCUAGUGCUAGAGAACAGUUAACAUUCCCUGCUUUUUCUAUCAGUAAAGCCAAAAGUAAAAACAUAUGAAUACGAAAUGGACAACAUACAUCAAAAAAAUUCAAUAAGCCUGAAAUGUCUUCCACAAGGUUGAUCCAGCAUAUGAAUUUACCUUCUGCACACUGCAACUGCAGCAAUAAUUCAUUUGGUAAAUACUUUCGCAUAUUGCAUUAUGACUGUUAAUAUGGAUUAAUUUUUGAUUAUCUGAUUCAAUUAAAC